Molecule: long non-coding RNA, 401 nt
Organism: Phyllopteryx taeniolatus (common seadragon)
Lineage: Eukaryota; Metazoa; Chordata; Actinopteri; Syngnathiformes; Syngnathidae
Exons: 2
Source: RefSeq, a predicted model, not a curated record
AAAAAACACACAAGGAAUUUGUCUCCGGUAGUUAGAGCCGCUCAUGCAACAUCCGGCUGUGUGACUGGAAGCUUUUGCUGACGAGCGCCACUCAAGCCGCAACUCAAGCUCAGAUAGAUUGGUUGGAGAGCGUCUGUGAACAAAGGUUUUCAAGAAUGGACACAGAUGCUCGAUGGGAUUUAGGUCUGGACGUUGACUGGGCCAUUCAAGUGAAUAUUUUUUGGUCUAAACCAGUGGUUCUUAACCUUGUUGGAGGUACGGAACCCCGCAAGUUUCUUGCUAAAAUCAUUUAAGUACAUUUUGUCCAUAUUAAUGUACACACAGCAACCCAUAUUGACAGAAAAAAAACUGUAUUGUUGAUUUUUUUGCAGAUUUAUUAAAAAAGAAAAAGUGAAAUAUCA